Molecule: ribosomal RNA, 385 nt
Filed under: uncultured bacterium
Lineage: Bacteria
Description: bacterial SSU rRNA
Rfam family: Bacterial small subunit ribosomal RNA
Source: RNAcentral
AUUGAACGCUGGCGGCAUGCCUUACACAUGCAAGUCGAACGGCAGCACGGGGCAACCUGGUGGCGAGUGGCGAACGGGUGAGUAAUGCAUCGGAACGUGCCAUUGAGUGGGGGAUAACGUAGCGAAAGUUGCGCUAAUACCGCAUAUUCUGUGAGCAGGAAAGCAGGGGGACCGCAAGGCCUUGCGCUCUUUGAGCGGCCGAUGUCAGAUUAGCUAGUUGGUGAGGUAACGGCUUACCAAGGCGACGAUCUGUAGCGGGUCUGAGAGGAUGAUCCGCCACACUGGAACUGAGACACGGUCCAGACUCCUACGGGAGGCUGCAGUGGGGAAUUUUGGACAAUGGGCGCAAGCCUGAUCCAGCCAUGCCGCGUGAGUGAAGAAGGCC